RNAcentral lists this transfer-messenger RNA (361 nucleotides) under Azospira inquinata. RNAcentral's name for it is "Standard tmRNA". It matches the Rfam family "transfer-messenger RNA". From Rfam's summary of the family: Bacterial tmRNA, also known as 10Sa RNA or SsrA, is named for its dual tRNA and mRNA-like properties. Its role is to liberate the mRNA from a stalled ribosome. To accomplish this part of the tmRNA is used as a reading frame that ends in a translation stop signal. Lineage: Bacteria; Pseudomonadati; Pseudomonadota; Betaproteobacteria; Rhodocyclales; Rhodocyclaceae. The record is from Rfam by way of RNAcentral.
GGGGGCGACCUGGCUUCGACGUGGGUUGCAAAGCAGAGCAGGGCAUACCGAGGCCCAGUUACCUCGUAAAUCCAUCUGGAAACUUACAAACGCCAACGACGAGCGUUUCGCUCUCGCCGCUUAAACCGGUGAGCUCUGCACCAGUUUGCUAACGGGCUGGGCUGGGUAACCAGCAGCAGAGUCAGAUACACUAGCUAAGGCUUUACCCCUCCGUGAGGCAAAGCACUAAAACUUUAGCGGAUCGCUGUACGGCAGCCUGCCCACUGGCGGUUGUGCAGCUAAAUCAAAUAAUGAGGCUAAGUAUGUAGAACUGCCUGUAGAGGACUUGCGGACGGGGGUUCGAUCCCCCCCGCCUCCACCA